Molecule: ribosomal RNA, 398 nt
Filed under: uncultured bacterium
Lineage: Bacteria
Description: bacterial SSU rRNA
Rfam family: Bacterial small subunit ribosomal RNA
Source: RNAcentral
CGGACGGGUGAGUAACGCGUGAGGGAGGAAGGCUCUUGGGUUGUAAACCUCUUUUGUCAGGGAAGAACACACUGACCGUACCUGAAGAAUCAUGAUCUGCUAACUCCGUGCCAAUUUCCGCGGUAAUACGGGGGAUGCAAGCGUUAUCCGGAAUUAUUGGGCGUAAAGCGUCCGCAGGUGGCUAAUCAAGUCUGCUGUCAAAGGUUGGGGCUUAACCCCUAUUGGGCCUGGGAAACUGAGAAGCUAGAGUGCUUCAGGGAUAUAGGGAAUUCCCGGUGUACCGGUGAAAUGCGUACAUAUCUGGAAGAACACCGGUGGCGACAGCGCUCUGCUAAGCCGCAACUGACACUGAGGGACGAAACCUAGGGGAGCGAAUGGGAUUAGAUACCCCAGUAGUC